UGGGGAAUAUUGCACAAUGGGGGAAACCCUGAUGCAGCGACGCCGCGUGAGCGAAGAAGGUUUUCGAAUCGUAAAGCUCUGUCCUAUGAGAAGAUAAUGACGGUAUCAUAGGAGGAAGCCCCGGCUAAAUACGUGCCAGCAGCCGCGGUAAUACGUAUGUUGCGAGCGUUAUCCGGAAUUAUUGGGCUUAAAGGGCAUCUAGGCGGUAAGACAAGUUGAAGGUGUAAACCUGUGGCUCAACCAUAGGCUUGCCUACAAAACUGUUGAACUAGAGUACUGGAAAGGUGGGUGGAACUACACGAGUAGAGGUGAAAUUCGUAGAUAUGUGUAGGAAUGCCGAUGAUGAAGAUAACUCACUGGACAGAAACUGACGCUGAAGUGCGAAAGCUAGGGGAGCAAACAGG
This 404-nucleotide ribosomal RNA is filed under the name Verrucomicrobiota bacterium. RNAcentral describes it as "Verrucomicrobia bacterium partial 16S ribosomal RNA". It matches the Rfam family "Bacterial small subunit ribosomal RNA", at positions 355 to 776 of the family's 1533-position model. Lineage: Bacteria; Pseudomonadati; Verrucomicrobiota. The record is from RNAcentral.